This 293-nucleotide ribosomal RNA is filed under the name uncultured microorganism. RNAcentral's name for it is "partial 16S ribosomal RNA". It matches the Rfam family "Bacterial small subunit ribosomal RNA", at positions 505 to 796 of the family's 1533-position model. The record is from RNAcentral.
GUGCCAGCAGCCGCGGUAAUACAGAGGGUGCGAGCGUUAAUCGGAUUUACUGGGCGUAAAGCGUGCGUAGGCGGCUUCUUAAGUCGGAUGUGAAAUCCCUGAGCUUAACUUAGGAAUUGCAUUCGAUACUGGGAAGCUAGAGUAUGGGAGAGGAUGGGUAGAAUUCCAGGUGUAGCGGUGAAAUGCGUAGAGAUCUGGAGGAAUACCGAUGGCGAAGGCAGCCAUCUGGCCUAAUACUGACGCUGAGGUACGAAAGCAUGGGGAGCAAACAGGAUUAGAUACCCUGGUAGUCC